ACGGUGCUAAUACCGCAUAAUGCAGCGGCAUCUAUGAUGACAGUUGUUAAAGCGGGGGAUCGUAAGACCUCGCGCCUGAAGAGAAGCUCGCGGCAGAUUAGCUAGUUGGUAGGGUAAUGGCCUACCAAGGCGACGAUCUGUAGCCGGCCUGAGAGGGCGGUCGGCCACACUGACACUGACAUACGGGUCAGACUCCUACGGGAGGCAGCAGUCGGGAAUUUUGGGCAAUGGGCGAAAGCCUGACCCAGCAACGCCGCGUGAAGGAUGAAGCUUUUCGGAGUGUAAACUUCACAAGAAUGGGAAGAAUAAGUUUUGGAUAAUACCCAAAACGAUGACGGUACCAUUUGUAAGCUCCGGCUAACUCCGUGCCAGCAGCCGCGGUAAUACGGGGGGAGCAAGCGUUGUUCGGAUUUACUGGGCGUAAAGGGCGCGUAGGCGGCGCGACAAGUCACUUGUGAAAUCUCCGGGCUCAACUCGGAACGGUCAAGUGAUACUGUCAUGCUAGAGUGCGGAAGGGGCAACCGGAAUUCUUGGUGUAGCGGUGAAAUGCGUAGAUAUCAAGAGGAACACCUGCGGCGAAGGCGGGUUGCUGGGCCGACACUGACGCUGAGGCGCGAAAGCUAGGGGAGCGA
This 632-nucleotide ribosomal RNA is filed under the name uncultured soil bacterium. RNAcentral's name for it is "bacterial SSU rRNA". It matches the Rfam family "Bacterial small subunit ribosomal RNA", at positions 157 to 771 of the family's 1533-position model. The record is from RNAcentral.